RNAcentral lists this ribosomal RNA (301 nucleotides) under uncultured bacterium. RNAcentral describes it as "bacterial SSU rRNA". It matches the Rfam family "Bacterial small subunit ribosomal RNA", at positions 30 to 312 of the family's 1533-position model. The record is from RNAcentral.
AGUGAACGCUGGCGGCAGGCCUAACACAUGCAAGUCGAGCGGCAGCGGGUUCCCGCGAGGGGAUGCCGGCGAGCGGCGGACGGGUGAGGAACACAUCGGAAUCUGCCUGGUUGCGGGGGAUAACGUAGGGAAACUUACGCUAAUACCGCAUGCGACCCUGAGUCGACGGACGUGGGGGUGAAAGUGAGGGACCUUCGGGCCUCACGCGACCAGAUGAGCCGAUGUCGGAUUAGCUAGUUGGCGGGGUAACGGCCCGCCAAGGCGACGAUCCGUAGCUGGUCUGAGAGGAUGAUCAGCCACA